AACGAACGCUGGCGGCAUGCCUAACACAUGCAAGUCGAACGAGACCUUCGGGUCUAGUGGCGCACGGGUGCGUAACGCGUGGGAACCUGCCCUUAGGUUCGGAAUAACUCCCCGAAAGGGGUGCUAAUACCGGAUAAUGUCUUCGGACCAAAGAUUUAUCGCCUUUGGAUGGGCCCGCGUUGGAUUAGCUAGUUGGUAGGGUAAAAGCCUACCAAGGCGACGAUCCAUAGCUGGUCUGAGAGGAUGAUCAGCCACACUGGGACUGAGACACGGCCCAGACUCCUACGGAGGGCAGCGGUGGGAAUAUUGGACAAUGGGCGAAAGCCUGAUCCAGCAAUGCCGCGUGAGUGAUGAAGGCCUUAGGGUUGUAAAGCUCUUUUACCCGGGAUGAUAAUGACAGUACCGGGAGAAUAAGCUCCGGCUAACUCCGUG
This 432-nucleotide ribosomal RNA is filed under the name uncultured bacterium. Its description in RNAcentral is "partial 16S ribosomal RNA". It matches the Rfam family "Bacterial small subunit ribosomal RNA", at positions 29 to 507 of the family's 1533-position model. The record is from RNAcentral.